Molecule: non-coding RNA, 4609 nt
Organism: Triticum urartu
Lineage: Eukaryota; Viridiplantae; Streptophyta; Magnoliopsida; Poales; Poaceae
Source: RefSeq, a predicted model, not a curated record
UGCCGCAGCCCAGAAGCCGCCCGGAUGAAAAAAAGACCCCGGCUCGACCCCAGUUGUCCCGAACCUCCCCCGAACCGAUCCUCCAGCUCCCCGCCGCCGCGCCGUGAUGCAACCCCAGGCCCCGGUCGCCGCGCCCCCAGGGCCUCGCCACCGCGCCGCGAUGCCACCUCUGUUGCGACCCUAGGGCCCGGCCGCCGCGCCGCCAGGCCACCUCCGCCGUGCCGCCAGGCCCCAGCCGCCGCACUACCAGGCCACCUCCGCCGCGCCGCCAACCUUCCUUGGCUGCGCUGUCAGGCCCUACGUCGCCGCCGCACUACUCCAGCCAGCGUCCCACCGUGCCACGCUGCUCCAGCCGGCCUUCCACCGCGCUGUGCUUCCCCAGCCCGCCUCGCAAUGCGACGCUGCGCCAAGGCGUUCACGGCCGCUACCCCAGUCCGUUCACCACUGCCAACCAAGGCCGUUCAACGAUGGGUCGGUCAGCAAAAGCAAUGAUUCAGACCUGAGGGAAGAAGACGGAGCUAAAAUGAUUCAGUUCAUCAUUAGCACCCUAUAACCCAAACAGUGAAGAACACACCCCUUGUACUUUUGCUCUUGUUCCUUCUGUCUCCUGAAUUCCACUCUUGAUGAGCAUGCUUGGUACUAGAUAGAUACUGCUGUCGUAGUUCUAAUACAAUAUAUUACAACAAUUCAUUGACAAAAAAUUGUCAAUUCAUAUAUGUAUGCAGCGGCUGUUCUGAUACUACUUCAGUAACCAGAAAAACACAAAAGUUCAACUAUAUUUAUACAAAAUAGUUUAAUAUUUUAUUCUAUGACACUCAAGAAAAACAGAAAUAAAAGAGGUUCAUCAUGUGAUGAACAAUAGUCCCAACAAGUGUGCUAGAGAUGCAAAAAAAUUGAUGGCAUAGUCGAUGCUAUUUUUCAUCCAAUUUCUGAAGAAAACUAAAGUUGAUCAGAGUAACUGAAGAAUAAUCUAUUAGUUCUCGAGUAUGUGUAAUGAUGCCAUUUUACUGUGCAUUUGUUUCCAUUGCGAUGGAUGUAUUCCAAGAUAUGGUUGUAUCAUUGUGUUGAAUAAAAAUACCAUGUUGCUGCAACAUUUUCUGUCAGCUCCUGUCAAGCAAUACAUGUAUGUGAGCAUCCUUCUAUGUAGUAAGUUCAUAGUCGAGAAGUCAGGAACUUCGGAAAAAGAACGUGAACAUAAAAAACCAUAAAAACCUGAACCUUAUCUUAAGGGAGUUCAAGAAGUCCGUGUCUAGCCGUCUGUGGUGUGUAUUCUUAUCAGUUCAUAGUCGAGAAGACAUGUAUUCUUAUCAGUUUAUUUUUCUAGCUGGCAGUUUUGUGUAUUUGGUUAGUUUGUGUGUGUAUAUGUUGCCAUCGUGGUAUACGAGAGACCACCCCACGAGAAAGUCGCCGAUCUGGUCGAGGCAUGCUCCUGUUCUCUGUUUUCAGUUGCACAAACAUUUAAAAGUUCAAACACCAAACCCUGGUAAGUUCUCCUUACAAAAACUCAUCUCUCAUAUUUGUUCCUAUUUUUGUAGGUUCCAGUUAAAACAAGAUGCAUAAGUUCAUCAUUUGUAUGCUUUUUAGUUCAUCUACUUCCCGAUGGUGAGUCUGAUUUCCUUCGUGUUUCCAUUUUCUUCAUAUAGCACAAACAAGUACUUGUGGUUAUGCUUGAGAAUGAGCACCAUACCGUUCACCGCCGCCACACCGGGUCGUUCAACGACACAACCCGAAGUAGUUCGACGUCGCAGCUCGGGAGGCACACACUUCACCCCUCCAUCCCAGGAGAGCAGUACAUCUUGUGCGCGAGCAGUCCGUUGCUGAUGUACACUGCUGCUCUAAGCUCCUUGGCCACUACUCCAGUAUGUCCAGCAUCGUCCCCAGUCCAGCCCCAUGGCAUUCGGACGGUCGAGUUCAUGCCGAGCAGCAGUCCACGCCCAUCAGCUCCUAUUUCCACUAUAGUGGUUGGGUUGCCGUUUUCCUCAUCCUUCUCCGUGCGCGACAACCCAGCCCACAUGUUGCUGCCGUCCGCCACCCCAAAUAGCUUUGGCUGUUCCUCAAGCAACCAUUUGGAGAACCUUUUGGUGUUUUUCUACUGGUGAUUGAUUUUAGCAAUUUGUAGCUAUCUGCGUAUGGAAUCUGAAAGUUCAAGAUUGCUGCAGAUUCAAUUCUUGUAGUACAAAUGUCCCAGAGUUUAGUGACAUCUGUAAUUGAGGUACUAUGGUCUUGCAUCUCCAAUGUAUGUUGCUGAGCAUCCUCCCAAUCCGCUCGAUCAACUUCUUAUUCCACCUCCAAAAAAAAUUCUUUUUGAGUUCUAUCCUUCGUCACAGGUUCACCGCUAUUACCUCAGUGCAAACGUGCCAAAGAGUUUAGUUCAGACUAUACUAAAUGUCCAUAUUAUAGAUAAUAUUUGCAUUGUCUUAAAUUUCUGGAAACAAGCUUCAGUACAAGAAAAAUGGGCCAGUUAGUUCAUCCAUAUCCAAACCCCCGUCGACGUGCGGCGGCAGGAAACAUUUUCAGGUUGUUUUCUUUCUCUCUUUGCUUAGCACAAAAUUGCGCAAAUGCCUAGCAGAAAAAGAACUUGUUCGUAUACAUAGGUAGAUUCACGAAAUAUUGUAGUAGUACUUCGGUGAAAGGAUUCACAUCAGUUCAAACAUUUUUGAAUGUUCAGUAAAAGUUCAAAUAGAGCAGAGGCUUUCACCUCAUUCGAAAAAGCCUAAAAAGCAACAGUACAAUGAUAGAAAAAAAUCAGUUGAAAAAAAUAUGCUGGAGGUUUGUCGGAAUGGCAGAAAAACAUCAGUUCAAUUUUUCUGUACCAUCGCUUCUAUUGCUAAAUGUUUUAGUCACUUGUUUUCUUGAUGCCAUCAGGUAUUUCCUUAAAUACUUCGGUCUUGUGCAGCUGGUACUAGUGUGAAUGGGUAGCAAGUUCAACUACCAAUCCACACCAAGUUCAGACCUCUUUUUGGAAUUGGGCCUGCCCCAUGAUCCGGCGUCGCCCUCCGCUGCCUCAGCACGCAGGCCGUUCACCUUCACCACCCCUGGCCGUUCACCACCACCACCAGCGCCCGUUCAAUGCCGCCCCAACAACCCAGUGCGACUUUGUCUCUCUCAACUUAAAAAGCGGUUCAGCUCAGUGCAUGUCAGACAUUAAAGCAAUAUUCUGUAGUAGCUUCAAAAAAUGCAAAUGGUCAUGUUUCCACAAGACUGACGGAACACUGCCAAUUGAACUGAGCACUAGCGGAACUGUGAAGCACUGACGAAACACUACCAAUUGAAUUGAACGUUGACCACGUCUCCACCCUCCCCACGCCCGCCAAUGCUGCGACCACCCCUCCCCCUCACGAUUUCUCGUUGAUAUCGCUGUAUUCAUGCUUGUUACGUGAGUUGCCUGAUGGAAGUUCUGCAACUGUCAGUCCAGAUGGAAGAAGGAGAUCGGUCCAAAGUGUGAGUUUUGCGACGUCGACGUGCAAGUUCUACAAUUUAUCUGUCCAUAUGGGAGAAGGAGAUCAAUCCAACCGACGCAUCUGAAGCGACAUAUGCAGAGCCAUUCGCCUGAGAGCCAAAUCCUGGCGCGCCCAGCCGCUGCUCGUGAACCCCGCCUCCAUCAGCUCCACUUCACUGGAGCCGUCAGUCCACAGGAAUAGGGGUAGCGGAUCCCCUAUAGCGGCCAAAUCCCGGUGCGCCCAACCGCUGCUUGUGAACCUCGCCUCCAUCAGCUCCACUUCACCAGAGCCGUCAGUCCGCAGGAGUAGGGGUAGCAGGUUCACCCAACGUCCGACGCCUUCUUCCAUCUCCAAAAAUCUUGUUUUUUGAGUUCAGUUCUUCGUCACAUGUUUCACUAGCUGAAAAAUGCAUGGUGUUCUGAAAUUGCUUGCGGACCACUAGCUGAAAUUGCUUGACGAACAAAAGCAAAGUCCUUCUGCAGGGCCCAAACCCGCUGUCGUGCAAGAAAAAGAAAGCAAAGCCCCAACCAUCAGCUGCUCAAUCAUCAGAACUAAUAGUAAGAUGGAGAAGAGAUAAUGCAACAAAAAUCUUAGAUGGGGCAGUGAAGUCCAUUGCGCAUUCUGAUUUUUUGUAGCUCCGGACAUCAGUUGUAUUGAGACAUGGAUGGCUCUACACCUGAAGUACAUAUAUCUGACAAGCAUGAUCACAUGUUCCCUUUAGAGUCUGAUGGUCGAUGGAGAGGCGAAGCGAAAGACGGUUAGGAAGCGCAAGAGAAGUGGCAAAGACAGUAGGUCCAUGUGUAUUUAACAGCAAGUCCAUGUAUUACUACAUGAGAAGUACUGCUAUUCCCUCACUGGAUUUGCAGGCUCACGACCAUCCUCCAACACCCCGUCAGUGCCACUGAUUUGAAGGACCUCGGUGAGCGUGUACUUCUCCUGGGUCCACUAGGUUCCGUCCUGAGAGAAGCAUCGCCGGCUGGGAGAGUUCAAUGAUCUGAACUAGGAAAGUUCAACGUGAAAAUUUGCUACAGAUUGCAUUACUUGAGAAUUUUUUUCUAACUGGGUGCAGAUGAGCCUGGGCACUGAAACGCCCUACUCACUCUUUAUUGACUUCUCUGUAUUUUGUGAAUAAAUGUUUAUAUAAUAAAUGUUCACAUAGUAUACUCCCA